Molecule: long non-coding RNA, 729 nt
Filed under: Rattus norvegicus (Norway rat)
Lineage: Eukaryota; Metazoa; Chordata; Mammalia; Rodentia; Muridae
Description: long non-coding RNA NONRATT026050
Source: RNAcentral
GCAUGGAUUAUGUGGCUUACCGCCACCUGGUGGGAGUGUGCUACACGGAGGAAGAAGCUAAGGCGCUGGCUGAGGAGGUGCGGGGCAGGGAGGGGGCUCGCAAGAGAAGGUGGAGGAUACAGGGAUUGUGGCUUCAACUGUGCCCUCACAGUUGAAUGUGAUGGGUCUCUUGGUGGCAGGUGGAGGUCCAGGAUGGCCCUAAUGAGGAUGGGAAUAUGUUCAUGCGGCCAGGGAAGCUGUCUGACUAUUUUCCAAAACCAUACCCCAACCCUGAGGCUGCAAGAGCUGCUAACAAUGGAGCUUUACCCCCUGACCUCAGCUACAUCGUUCGAGCAAGGUACUUGGGCUGCCCAGAACGUGGGACUAGAAACUGAGGAAAGUAAGCCUUGUGUUAAAGACUAAGCCAUGGGUCUGGUUCUAGGCACGGUGGUGAGGACUAUGUGUUUUCCUUGCUCACUGGCUACUGUGAACCUCCCACUGGGGUGUCAUUGCGAGAAGGCCUCUAUUUCAACCCUUACUUUCCUGGCCAGGCCAUUGGCAUGGCUCCUCCCAUCUACACAGAAGUCUUGGAGUAUGACGAUGGUGAGUGUCCUUUACCAUGGUCCUCUCCUGCUCCUAGCAUGCUUCCCUGAUAUUCCCGGGUCUGGAGGUCUAGCUCCCUUCUCACCAGUAGUGUUUGUUGGCUGCAUAUCUAAAGGCUUGGGGACAGCUUUCGUAAUCCUGUAAGGU